CCGGUUGUUCGCGGCGCCGGCGUCGAACUUGGAUAUGUUCCGUCAGACUCUUAUAUACAGCAUCAAACAUACAUGGGACGAACAUGGAAGAACUCCAUCCAUGUCAUUCAGCUAGAAGCAGGGUCUUACGAAAAGACAAACCUUUCUGAAUAUUUAUACGUAUUGACUAUAUUUAGCUUUGGAGAAAGACAUAAAGGAACGUAUAUUUUAAAUUGCAAUUCUGUUAGCAACACGAAUUCUGUGCAGCUUCACACCCAAGAGCGACCUAGUUACCCAGUUAUCAGUGGUCCAAAAAUUAACACAACAGAAUGCAUUUCUGUUUAUGUAGGUUCCGUUAUUUCUUGCAAAACUAACAAUGGAACGGAAGUCGUUCAAGUAAUGCUAUCAAAGCUCCGGCAAAAGAAAUCCAUGUUGACAAAGUAUUAUUAGCUUUUAAAUGAUUGUGUUUCAAUUCCAAAGACAGGUCACCCGCCAAUUCUAACCGUGCCUGAAUUCUAUGAUGGAGAAAAUUCGACAACAAUAUAUGAAGUGCGCAAUGCUAUCCCCGCUCCGAAAAUAUAAAUUCACGUUGUCAAAGUAUAACAAGCUGAUGCUCAACAAACCGAUUGAUUUAAUGAAUCAUCUCAUUCGUUUACAAGUUUAGCAAAGGUGACAAAGGCUAACACAUUAAUAUGAAAUAUCCACCGUCGCACCUUUCGAUGUUCGUUGACAAAAUACACGAAUAUAACAACAAUGUUCAUGUCUAUUUAUUAGACAUGUCUUAUAAAACAAAUGAAUCAAAACCGCCUUGCACAAUUGAAUGGUCA
This is a long non-coding RNA of Mya arenaria, 806 nucleotides long. RefSeq lists it as uncharacterized. The record is from RefSeq and is a predicted model, not a curated record. Lineage: Eukaryota; Metazoa; Mollusca; Bivalvia; Myida; Myidae. The transcript has 3 exons.